This 274-nucleotide ribosomal RNA is filed under the name uncultured bacterium. Its description in RNAcentral is "partial 16S ribosomal RNA". It matches the Rfam family "Bacterial small subunit ribosomal RNA", at positions 523 to 796 of the family's 1533-position model. The record is from RNAcentral.
AUACGAAGGGGGCUAGCGUUGUUCGGAAUUACUGGGCGUAAAGCGCGCGUAGGCGGAUUGAUCAGUCAGGGGUGAAAUCCCGGAGCUUAACUCCGGAACUGCCUUUGAUACUGUCAAUCUUGAGUUCGAGAGAGGUGAGUGGAAUUCCUAGUGUAGAGGUGAAAUUCGUAGAUAUUAGGAAGAACACCAGUGGCGAAGGCGGCUCACUGGCUCGAUACUGACGCUGAGGUGCGAAAGCGUGGGGAGCAAACAGGAUUAGAAACCCUAGUAGUCC